UACGUAGGGCGCAAGCGUUAUCCGGAAUUAUUGGGCGUAAAGAGCUCGUAGGCGGUUUGUCGCGUCUGCCGUGAAAGUCCGGGGCUCAACUCCGGAUCUGCGGUGGGUACGGGCAGACUAGAGUGAUGUAGGGGAGACUGGAAUUCCUGGUGUAGCGGUGAAAUGCGCAGAUAUCUGGAGGAACACCGGUGGCGAAGGCGGCAUCCUGGACCGACAUUGACGCUGAGGCGCGAAAGCCAGGGGAGCAAACGGG
RNAcentral lists this ribosomal RNA (253 nucleotides) under uncultured bacterium. Its description in RNAcentral is "partial 16S ribosomal RNA". It matches the Rfam family "Bacterial small subunit ribosomal RNA", at positions 524 to 776 of the family's 1533-position model. The record is from RNAcentral.